RNAcentral lists this ribosomal RNA (255 nucleotides) under uncultured bacterium. RNAcentral's name for it is "partial 16S ribosomal RNA". It matches the Rfam family "Bacterial small subunit ribosomal RNA", at positions 524 to 776 of the family's 1533-position model. The record is from RNAcentral.
UACGAAGGGGGGCUAGCGUUGCUCGGAAUUACUGGGCGUAAAGGGAGCGUAGGCGGAUAUUUAAGUCGGGGGGUGAAAGCCCAGGGCUCAACCCUGGAAUUGCCUUCGAUACUGGAUAUCUAGAGUAUGGGAGAGGUGUGUGGAACUCCCGAGUGUAGAGGUGAAAUUGUAGAUAUUCGGAAGAACACCAGUGGCGAAGGCGACACACUGGCCCAUUACUGACGCUGAGGCUCGAAAGCGUGGGGAGCAAACAGG